GACGAACGCUGGCGGCGUGCUUAACACAUGCAAGUCGAACGGAAAGGCCCUGCUCUUGUGGGGUGCUCGAGUGGCGAACGGGUGAGUAACACGUGAGUAACCUGCCCUUGACUUUGGGAUAACUUCAGGAAACUGGGGCUAAUACCGGAUAGGAGCUCCUGCUGCAUGGUGGGGGUUGGAAAGUUUCGGCGGUUGGGGCUGGACUCGCGGCUUAUCAGCUUGUUGGUGGGGUAGUGGCUUACCAAGGCUUUGACGGGUAGCCGGCCUGAGAGGGUGACCGGCCACAUUGGGACUGAGAUACGGCCCAGACUCCUACGGGAGGCAGCAGUGGGGAAUAUUGCACAAUGGGCGGAAGCCUGAUGCAGCAACGCCGCGUGCGGGAUGACGGCCUUCGGGUUGUAAACCGCUGUCGCCUGUGACGAAGCGUGAGUGACGGUAAUGGGUAAAGAAGCACCGGCUAACUACGUG
RNAcentral lists this ribosomal RNA (468 nucleotides) under uncultured bacterium. RNAcentral describes it as "partial 16S ribosomal RNA". It matches the Rfam family "Bacterial small subunit ribosomal RNA", at positions 28 to 507 of the family's 1533-position model. The record is from RNAcentral.